This 253-nucleotide ribosomal RNA is filed under the name uncultured bacterium. RNAcentral describes it as "partial 16S ribosomal RNA". It matches the Rfam family "Bacterial small subunit ribosomal RNA", at positions 524 to 776 of the family's 1533-position model. The record is from RNAcentral.
UACGUAGGGUCCGAGCGUUGUCCGGAAUUACUGGGCGUAAAGAGCUCGUAGGUGGUUUGUCGCGUUGUCCGUGAAAACUCACAGCUCAACUGUGGGCGUGCGGGCGAUACGGGCAGACUGGAGUACUGCAGGGGAGACUGGAAUUCCUGGUGUAGCGGUGGAAUGCGCAGAUAUCAGGAGGAAUACCGGUGGCGAAGGCGGCAUCCUGGACCGGCAUUGACGCUGAGGAGCGAAAGCCAGGGGAGCAAACGGG